AUUGAACGCAGGCGGCAGGCCUAACACAUGCAAGUCGGACGGUAGCACAGAGGAGCUUGCUCCUUGGGUGACGAGUGGCGGACGGGUGAGUAAUGUCUGGGGAUCUGCCCGAUAGAGGGGGAUAACCACUGGAAACGGUGGCUAAUACUGCAUAACGUCGCAAGACCAAAGAGGGGGACCUUCGGGCCUCUCACUAUCGGAUGAACCCAGCUGGGAUUAGCUAGUAGGCGGGGUAAUGGCCCACCUAGGCGACGAUCCCUAGCUGGUCUGAGAGGAUGACCAGCCACACUGGAACUGAGACACGGUCCAGACUCCUACGGGAGGCAGCAGUGGGGAAUAUUGCACAAUGGGCGCAAGCCUGAUGCAGCCAUGCCGCGUGUAUGAAGAAGGCCUUCGGGUUGUAAAGUACUUUCAGCGGGGAGGAAGGCGGUGAGGUUAAUAACCUCGCCGAUUGACGUUACCCGCAGAAGAAGCACCGGCUAACUCCGUGCCAGCCGCCGCUGUAA
RNAcentral lists this ribosomal RNA (506 nucleotides) under uncultured bacterium. RNAcentral describes it as "partial 16S ribosomal RNA". It matches the Rfam family "Bacterial small subunit ribosomal RNA", at positions 29 to 523 of the family's 1533-position model. The record is from RNAcentral.